RNAcentral lists this unclassified non-coding RNA (253 nucleotides) under uncultured Gammaproteobacteria bacterium. Its description in RNAcentral is "contains 16S-23S intergenic spacer region". It matches the Rfam family "Bacterial small subunit ribosomal RNA", at positions 524 to 776 of the family's 1533-position model. Lineage: Bacteria; Pseudomonadati; Pseudomonadota; Gammaproteobacteria. The record is from RNAcentral.
UACGAAGGUGGCAAGCGUUAUUCGAAAUCACUGGGCUUAAAGGGCGCGUAGGCGGCUAUGUAAGUCAGGUGUGAAAUCCCCGGGCUCAACCUGGGAACUGCAUUUGAGACUGCAUAGCUAGAGUAUGGGAGAGGAAGGCGGAAUUCCCGGUGUAGCGGUGAAAUGCGUAGAUAUCGGGAGGAACAUCAGUGGCGAAGGCGGCCUUCUGGCCCAAUACUGACGCUGAGGUACGAAAGCAUGGGGAGCAAACAGG